This 444-nucleotide RNase P RNA is filed under the name Oscillatoria sp. FACHB-1406. RNAcentral describes it as "RNase P RNA component class A". It matches the Rfam family "Bacterial RNase P class A". From Rfam's summary of the family: Ribonuclease P (RNase P) is a ubiquitous endoribonuclease, found in archaea, bacteria and eukarya as well as chloroplasts and mitochondria. Its best characterised activity is the generation of mature 5'-ends of tRNAs by cleaving the 5'-leader elements of precursor-tRNAs. Lineage: Bacteria; Bacillati; Cyanobacteriota; Cyanophyceae; Oscillatoriales; Oscillatoriaceae. The record is from RNAcentral.
GAGAGUUAGCGAGAAGGUUGCAGGCAGGCUUUUUAAGUCAGCUUGAGGAAAGUCCGGACUCCCGAAAGACCGAGCUUGCUGGGUAACGCCCAGUGCGCGCGAGCGCGAGGAGAGUGCCACAGAAACAUACCGCCUUUUUGACCGUUCCCACGAUUCAUGCAACAGUUCCCAGCCGCUUAAGCUGAUAACCGAUCGCUGAUGACUGAUAACGACUAAAAGGUAAGGGUGCAAAGGUGCGGUAAGAGCGCACCAGCAGUAUCGAGAGGUGCUGGCUCGGUAAACCCCGGCUGGGAGCAAGGUCGGAGGGACAAGGGUUGGUCUUUUUCCCGUCCCGUUUUAGGCGUACCGCAACAGGUGUCUGGUGACAGACAUCGCAGAUAGAUAACCUUCCUCCUCUUCUCGUUAAGAGGGGAACAGAAUCCGGCUUACGUCUAACUCUCUUCU